RNAcentral lists this unclassified non-coding RNA (243 nucleotides) under Hevea brasiliensis (rubber tree). The record is from RNAcentral. Lineage: Eukaryota; Viridiplantae; Streptophyta; Magnoliopsida; Malpighiales; Euphorbiaceae.
GCACUUUUUUGUAUCUUCCAAAAUUUGCUAGUUCAUUAGGUCAUUCUUUUUUGUCUGAUUUAGGCAAACAAUUUUUACCAUGUAAACAAUACUUAGUAAUGAAUGUUCCUUUCUUCCCUUUUUUUACAUCAUUAUCAUUAUCACUUAGCACUAAGUUUAACAAUAAAUAUGUCAAUCAACUCUUUAACCUUAAAGUCCAUAACAAAAGUUCUUCAUAUACCAUAGGAGGCUGAACGUUUGGAA